Molecule: ribosomal RNA, 364 nt
Filed under: uncultured bacterium
Lineage: Bacteria
Description: partial 16S ribosomal RNA
Rfam family: Bacterial small subunit ribosomal RNA
Source: RNAcentral
CCUACGGGAGGCAGCAGUGAGGGAUAUUGGUCAAUGGACGCAAGUCUGAACCAGCGAUGCCGCGUGCAGGAAGACGGCUCUAUGCGUUGUAAACUGCGUUUGUACGGGGGUAAACGCAGAUACGCGUAUCUGUCUCAAAGUAUCGUACGAAUAAGGAUCGGCUAACUCCGUGCCAGCAGCCGCGGUAAUACGGAGGAUCCGAGCGUUAUCCGGAUUCAUUGGGUUUAAAGGGUGCGUAGGUUGUUUUAUAAGUUAGCGGUGAAAUACCGAUGCUCAACACCGGGGCUGCCGUUGAUACUGUAGGACUAGAGAGCAGAUGGAGCAGGCGGAAUGUGUGGUGUAGCGGUGAAAUGCAUAGAUAUUA